Molecule: ribosomal RNA, 465 nt
Filed under: Vreelandella stevensii
Lineage: Bacteria; Pseudomonadati; Pseudomonadota; Gammaproteobacteria; Oceanospirillales; Halomonadaceae
Description: partial 16S ribosomal RNA
Rfam family: Bacterial small subunit ribosomal RNA
Source: RNAcentral
CCUACGUGUCGCAGCAGUGGGGAAUAUUGGACAAUGGGCGAAAGCCUGAUCCAGCCAUGCCGCGUGUGUGAAGAAGGCCUUCGGGUUGUAAAGCACUUUCAGUGGGGAAGAAAGCCUUGGGGCUAAUACCCUCGAGGAAGGACAUCACCCACAGAAGAAGCACCGGCUAACUCCGUGCCAGCAGCCGCGGUAAUACGGAGGGUGCGAGCGUUAAUCGGAAUUACUGGGCGUAAAGCGCGCGUAGGCGGUCUGAUAAGCCGGUUGUGAAAGCCCCGGGCUCAACCUGGGAACGGCAUCCGGAACUGUCAGGCUAGAGUGCAGGAGAGGAAGGUAGAAUUCCCGGUGUAGCGGUGAAAUGCGUAGAGAUCGGGAGGAAUACCAGUGGCGAAGGCGGCCUUCUGGACUGACACUGACGCUGAGGUGCGAAAGCGUGGGUAGCAAACAGGAUUAGAUACCCUGGUAGUC